Molecule: ribosomal RNA, 492 nt
Filed under: uncultured bacterium
Lineage: Bacteria
Description: partial 16S ribosomal RNA
Rfam family: Bacterial small subunit ribosomal RNA
Source: RNAcentral
AGUGAACGCUGGCGGUAGGCCUAACACAUGCAAGUCGAACGGCAGCACAGUAAGAGCUUGCUCUUACGGGUGGCGAGUGGCGGACGGGUGAGGAAUACAUCGGAAUCUACUUUUUCGUGGGUGAUAACGUAGGGAAACUUACGCUAAUACCGCAUACGACCUACGGGUGAAAGCAGGGGAUCUUCGGACCUUUCGCGAUUGAAUGAGCCGAUGUCGGAUUAGCUAGUUGGCGGGGUAAAGGCCCACCAAGGCGACGAUACGUAGCUGGUCUGAGAGGAUGAUCAGCCACACUGGAACUGAGACACGGUCCAGGCUCCUACGGGAGGCAGCAGUGGGGAAUAUUGGACAAUGGGCGCAAGCCUGAUCCAGCCAUACCGCGUGGGUGAAGAAGGCCUUCGGGUUGUAAAGCCCUUUUGUUGGGAAAGAAAAGCAGCAGGUUAAUACCCCGCUGUUCUGACGGUGCCCAAAGAAUAAGCACCGGCUAACUUCGUG